Trichinella spiralis is the source of this 728-nucleotide non-coding RNA. The record is from Rfam. NCBI's taxonomy places the organism in Eukaryota, Metazoa, Nematoda, Enoplea, Trichinellida, Trichinellidae.
UGUGGUGGAUUCAAAGCAUUGUUCUGCGUUCAAUUGUAAUGGGUCUGUUGGUUCCGUUGCGUUCGUGGGUUUCGGCUCACGAUUUGUCUGGUACGUCGGGAAAAAAGUCAAUUAUGAAUGUAAUUGAUCUGACUACCGUGCGUAACGGAAUUCAAAUGUGUGUUUGAUGGACUUUAUUUGCAAUCGGCGCUCAAUGUGUUUUCUUAUAUCGGUGGCGUCAAUGUUAGCCUCCCAUCCGACCCGUCUUGAAACACGGACCAAGGAGUUCAGUAGGCACGCGAGUCGUUGACGUUUUUCAUUGAACAGUCGAAGGCGAAAUGAAAGUGUUAAUGAAAAUGAACUGUACUUCUUUAUGGAGUGCUGUUCAAUUUUUCAACAUGAUCGUCCUUUUUUGUGCUUAAUUGUGCAAAAUAAUAGAUGUAUGGGGACGCGCAGUGUGGUGCCGUUGAAUAGUCGCACUGUUCUCUCUUUCUCUUCGGGGUUGGAGGAACAAUUGUCGAUCAGUCGGUUUCGGAGCGUGCACACUGGUACCCGAAAGAUGGUGAACUAUGCUUGAGCAGAAUGAAGCCAGAGGAAACUCUGGUGGAAGUUCGUAGCGGUGUUGACGUGCAAAUCACUCGUCUGACUUGAGUGUAGGGGCGAAAGACUAAUCGAACCAUCUAGUUGCUGGUUCCUUCCCGAAGUUUCCCUCCUGAUAGCUGGAAUUUGUUUGCACAAUUUUAAUCCGU